UAUGCCGGAUUGUUACUAUUAUCAUCAACCAAAGAAAACACUAGAUGCCUUCCUUCAUAACUAUGUGUAGAGGAGAGCAGCAACAAUACUAACAUGUCCCACUGAAAAAUCCCCACACUACACACUCAGAUGUAAUCUGGAGGUUAGGUUUACUCUGUAGGUUAGGUUUACUCUGUAAUGUAGGUUUACUCUGUAGGUUAGGUUUACUCUGUAGGUUAGGUUUACUCUGUAGGUUAGGUUUACUCUGUAGUGUAGGUUUACUCUGUAAUGUAGGUUUACUCUGUAGGUUAGGUUUACUCUGUAGGUUAGGUUUACU
Molecule: long non-coding RNA, 316 nt
Organism: Oncorhynchus tshawytscha (Chinook salmon)
Lineage: Eukaryota; Metazoa; Chordata; Actinopteri; Salmoniformes; Salmonidae
Source: Ensembl